RNAcentral lists this transfer RNA (77 nucleotides) under Pteropus alecto (black flying fox). It matches the Rfam family "tRNA". From Rfam's summary of the family: Transfer RNA (tRNA) molecules are approximately 80 nucleotides in length. RNAcentral also lists the same sequence under 1 other name. Lineage: Eukaryota; Metazoa; Chordata; Mammalia; Chiroptera; Pteropodidae. The record is from Rfam by way of RNAcentral.
GGCUCCAUAGUGUAGUGGUUGUUAGCACGUCUGCUUUCCACGCAGAAGGUCCUGGGUUUGCACCUCAGGUGGAGCCA